GUCCGUCUGACGUGACCGAGUGUUUUUUUUCCAUUGAAAAAUCCAUUUUCACGGUUAAACAUCAAAGAUUAAAAGAGGGAAUUUGGUGUUUUCCAGCCAGAAAGUGACAACUCCACGAUCCCGUCACGGACCCCCGGCACAGAUGACCCCUGCAUUGCCUCGCGGCAAUGGAAAAAAAAGCAGCCGAAAUGCUCUGGCGUUCGUGUGUGCAGCGAUCUGAUGUGCAGACCACACGAAAAGAAGAAAUCGAUAAGAGAAAGCAGGUGAUGCAGAUGUCAGGUAUCAUGGGGACAUUUCUGUGGCCGAGCAGAGCUGCUGCACAACGGGAGAGGAAAUGGCACAAAUAUACAGAAAUGUCCCCCGAGUCAAAAUGUUUAAGCAUAAUAAUGAGACACACACACACAUUUUUCUGAUUGUGAAAUCGUUGGCACUUACCAUGGCGGCGGGGGCGGGGGGGGUCAUCCACACACAAGGGCGUCAAUUGAAAUGCAGGCGCACAAAAAAAAAAAAGAAGAAGACAUUUUCAGUGCACGGCGAGAAAGCAAAAAGGAGUCUUAAAAUUGAACUCGCACAAAAAGAAAAGGAAUUUGGAUUUCGUUUGGAGGCCAGAUUCUAACAGGUCGCGCUGAAGAGAGCAGAGUGGACGGUGGCCUCGGGGACAGACAGGACACAGUGUGUCCUCACUGGUCAGUGGAGACUCACUGAUAGAUAUGUUUUUGCUGGCGUGGGUUAUAUUUUUACUCGGAGCUGACAGACAGCCCCCAUGCACACAGGUGCUAUUCAAAGAAACUGUGUAAAAGUGACGUCACGCAGAAGAAUCUAGCCCACAGACGCUUUUUAACACUCCAGAGCUCCGCCCACUACAUGU
Solea senegalensis (Senegalese sole) is the source of this 868-nucleotide long non-coding RNA. RefSeq lists it as uncharacterized. The transcript is spliced from 3 exons. NCBI's taxonomy places the organism in Eukaryota, Metazoa, Chordata, Actinopteri, Pleuronectiformes, Soleidae. The record is from RefSeq and is a predicted model, not a curated record.